This 468-nucleotide ribosomal RNA is filed under the name uncultured bacterium. RNAcentral's name for it is "partial 16S ribosomal RNA". It matches the Rfam family "Bacterial small subunit ribosomal RNA", at positions 28 to 507 of the family's 1533-position model. The record is from RNAcentral.
GACGAACGCUGGCGGCGUGCCUAACACAUGCAAGUCGAACGGAAAGGCCCUGCUCUUGCUCGUUUCUCGUGUGGCGAACGCGUGAGUAACACGUGAGUAACCCGUCCCUGUCUUUCUGAUAUCUUCAGGAAACUCGGGCUCAUAUCCGAUAUGAGCUCCUGCUGCACGGUGUGCGUUGGAAAGUUUCGGCGGUUGUGGCUGGACUCGCUGCUUAUCAGCUUGUUUGUCGAGUAGUUGCUUACAAAGGCUUCGACGGGUAGCCGGCCUGAGAGGGUGACCAGCCACAAUGGGACUGAGAGACGGCCCAGACUGCUACGGGAGGCAGCAGUGGGGAAUAUUGCGCAAUGGGCGGGAGCCUGAUGCAGCAACGCCGCGUGCGGGAUGACGGCCUUCGGGUUAUAAACCGCUUUCGCCUGUGACGAAGCGUGAGUGACGGUAAUGGGUAAAGAAGCACCGGCUAACUACGUG